Non-coding RNA from Ictidomys tridecemlineatus (thirteen-lined ground squirrel), 433 nucleotides. The record is from RefSeq and is a predicted model, not a curated record. Lineage: Eukaryota; Metazoa; Chordata; Mammalia; Rodentia; Sciuridae.
UGACAGCACCAGGUACAGCUGACAGGGUGCAGCACCCAGGCCUCUGUGUGCUGAGGUGCUCUCUGUUUGUCCUCUAGAGCCUCUCCUUGGCCAGCAGAGAGAGGGGCUAUUGGGAGAAAAGUCCAACUUGCGGCUUCUCCCUCGGGGAAGGGAAGCUCUGUGUUUGAGAGCAUUUUGAGUGGCUGGUUCAGCCUUUCUUGAGUUGCAGCUGGGAGGGGAGCUGGCACAAUGGCUGUUUCAGCACACAGAGCCAAGCCUGGCUACAGUUCAUGAUGCAGUGAAAGAAGACCAGAUGGGGGUGUCAGCAUUCUCACCCCAGCAAUGAGACUCUGUGAGCACAGUGCAUGGACACCUGGGCACAUGGAGGUGUACCUGACAGGGGGGCUCGGAAUACCAAAUGAAUUUGAAAUAAAAGAAGGAGAAUGCAAGAGCA